This is a long non-coding RNA of Phacochoerus africanus (Common warthog), 3832 nucleotides long. RefSeq lists it as uncharacterized. Lineage: Eukaryota; Metazoa; Chordata; Mammalia; Artiodactyla; Suidae. The record is from RefSeq and is a predicted model, not a curated record. The transcript is spliced from 2 exons.
ACUCCUAAAUUUCUAAUUUUUUAAAGGGAGAAAACUCAGACCCAAAGGGACUGAGUGACGAAAAAUGACUAAAAAUAACUCAGCAAGGAAGUUGCAGAGCCAGGUCUAGAACCCAAGCGUCCUGGCCCCCUGUCCAUUCCUUCAAGGUCAUCUUUGUCUGAGAUUCACUUUGGCCCUGGCUGGAUUCUCAUUCCAUCGUGGGACUUUGUGAAAAAGCACUUAAGCCACGACGGCAUCAAAGAUGCAGGCUUUAGCUUGGGAAGGCCUCCACCACGUGCAUCUCUUAACAGCACUUUCAAAGGGCUGGGACAGUGUCAGAAAGUCCUCUUGGAGACUUGGCCUCUUCAGGGGGAGGGGACGCAGAUAUCCUAAGAGGCCAGGCAUAAUCCCUUUGCCUGGGGACACCACGGGGACCCGAGGGCCAGCCCUGAAACCUUCAUAUUUAAAGCAGUUGUCUGCAGACAUAAUGCCCUCCGCCUGAUCAAAGGGCCGCGCCACACAAUCCCCAGGAACCAGAAGGCCGACGAGGGGGGAGGGCCCUUUGUCCUCGAAGGCCUGGAGGCUUGGAAUCCGGAUGCUUAAGCAGGCUGGGCUGCUGGCCGCACAGGGAGGGGCAGCGGCCCAGCCUGUCCCCCACAUUCCUCCCUCUGCCCUCUGCUGGUCCCACACCAAGAAGUGGGCCAGAACUUUGCCCUCGCCUCACCCUCAGUCUCCCAUCAGUUUUCUUCAACCGGUUCCUAAAAAGAAUUUCCCCAGCCCCAUAGGCUUUGCUGGUUCAUUGUGCAGUCAGCAAAGGUAAGCGCCCCAAUGUAACGUGUUUUUAAGUCUUUCUUCCAGCAUGUGGUUCCCUAAACAAACACUGCAUGUAUCGGUCAGGUCACAUUCCUGACCUUGUUGCUUCAGGUGCCUGAGGAUGCUGGGCUAACGACAGCCCGGCCCGCACACGGGUUGCUGCUCCCCCUUUCCUCUUGUGGCCCCGGCAGACGGCCUUCCUGGGCCCGUUUUGGUCCUGGCCGCUUCGCAGUGCAGGGCUUUCCCCCUUCAGCCUCUCUUUAUCAAAGUACCUGCACGGAAGGCUUACGCUUCAGAUUCCUGCCCCUGGUGCCCUUUGCCUGCUCAUUAUUUAAGGUUUUUUCAGACCCCUGCCUGUCAGGGAACGUCUGCACACUGUGGCUGUUUUCAUUUUUGCAAGUCUCCAAACACUGAUCGCAGCCUAGGAGAUAAGCCUUCAAAAAAGGGUAACGUUCUCCUGUGCACACGCACACCCCCCUCCCCACCACCACCACCACACACACACACACACACACACACACACACAAAUACGUUAGAAAAAUGUGCACCGGACCCACCCACAUUCUUCGAAGCCCAGGAUCUGAGUGAUGAAAGGGCUCCAUGCCCUGCCCUUUGGCCCUGACAGCAACACUGGCCUCCUGCCUGCUCUCCUGCUUUGCAAGGUGUUGGGAAGGGGCUUUAUUUUGCUCCCGUCAGUCAAGCACAUAUACAGAAAGUAACUUCCAGAGGCCUUUCAACACUGCCGUGGGCUUGCUGAAGGCAUUUGUUAGAUCUGGUCCAAUUGAAGGGACACUGUCAUAGAAUAAGGCAGCUCUAUCUGACCGUAGCUCACACAGGUCUAGGCCAGCAGUAACACAUUCAGAAGAGGCAGGAAAGGGGACAACAGCCUGGGCCUCCGGGUACAAGGGACACUUGGAUUCAGGGAAAUUCUCCCUCUGUUUUUUUUUUUUUUUCCCCUUAAAUUUUAGAUCUGUUGUAAGCCAAGUUAUGUUCACUCUCCAAUUCACACGUGGAAGUGCUAAACCCCAGUACCUCAUAAUGUGACUACAUUUGGAGAUGGGGUCUUUGAGGAGGUACUUGAGUUAAAAUGAGGUCAUUAGUGUGGGCCCAGCCCACUAGGAUUGGGAUUCUUAUAAGAAGAGGAAACUGGGACACGGGCACACGCAGAGGGAAAACCAUCUGAGGAUGUAGGCAGAAGGCGGCCGUCUGCAAGCCAAGGACAGAGGCCUCAGACAAAGCCAACCCUGCUCACCCUUUGAUCCCGGACUUCUGGCCUCUGGAACUGUGAGAAAAUCAAUUUCUGUUGCUUAAGCCACUCAGGCUGCUGUCCUUUGUUACGGCACCCCUAGCAAUAUUGCUAUUCAAGAUGGCAUUAGUUCGAGAUGGACAAUGAAAUUAACUAGAGGGCCAUUUCUGGGCAGUAAGUGGUUCUUCUGUCCCUGUGUGGGUUUCCAGGCAUGGGAUUCUUGUUUGUUGACAAGCAGUGGAUAUUCAGUGUGUGUUUACUGGGCACCUAAUUCAUGCCAGACACUGGGCUAGGCCAACAAACAGAGACUCAAAAGUCAAUGGCUCUGUCUAGAUUCUAGAUGAGAUUAGCAUCUCAAAUUGGCAGCGGAUGCAUGAGGAUGUGGGGUCCCUAAGACAGUCUCCUCCCUAGGGACCUAUUGGCUACAUCACAACAGAGUUUUCUUCCUUGGUUGCUAGAGUAUUUCCUAAAGUGUUAGAUGGAACUGUAUAAAAUUGCUUUUUUAUGUAGGUUAAAAAAGUUGAACUAGAUGCAAUGGAACAUGCUGAGUUGCAUCCUGGAACAGAAAAAGGACAUUAGUGAAAAAAAAACAAAAUACAAAGAAAGGAGUUAAUAAUAAUGUACUAAUAUUACUUUUGUAGUUUGCCAAAUGUGCUUUGCCUAUGUAACAUAUUAACAUUAGAGGAAGCUGAGUGAACAUAUACAGAAAUAUACAGUGAUUUAUAUAACCUUUGCAACUUUUCUAUAAAUCUAAAACUUUUCCAAAAUAAAAAAUUUAUUCUCUAAAAUGUUCGAAUAUUGGCAAUUUUACAUAUUUUAAACUAAUGAAGUCUGGAGCCCUUGAAUAUAAAGUAGGCUAAUUCAGUCUCCUAAUGAUACAGUCAUAGGAUUUAUAUUUGAAAUUUAAGUGUGUUUUACUUAUAGAGGUUUUAAAAUGAUUGACUGACUUUUUGUUCCCUGGAUGCCUGCCCACUCUAGGUAAGAGAACUAAACGAGCUGACCUUCAAAGAGAGAGAGAUUCACGAUCAUUACCAAGGGGUAGUAUUGAAUAAGACCAGCGGACAUAGAGAGAGAGGAUAAACCCAAUUUCUUGAGGACUCUGAGCUGUUGGAAUGAUUGACUCCCUCUGCCCUUCUUGGACAUCGGUCAUAAGAAGACAGAGGACUGUGCAAUAUCAGUUUUCGGGGAGUCUGGAUCUCGUUUAGAGGACAAAGAAGAAAAUCCUUCAUCAGACCAAUAUCACAUGAGACACUUGUUUUGUUUGGCUGGCAAGCAUCAAAUAUCUUAAGAACUAUUUACCACACAUUUAAAUUGGGAGGCUUCACAAAAAUAUCUGGAUAGUUGGCUUUUCUUGAACAAUCAGGAAUUCUAGCAACAGAGACCUAUGUUCCUACACGGAAAAGAUUCAUUGGAGCUGAGUAGCUGCUGUGCCCUCUCAAGGGGCCAUAAGCUCUCUGUUUCUCAGAGUCCCCACACAGCCCUCCCUGCCCAUCUAUGCUUCUGGCCCAAGAGCUUUAAGCAUUUGCAUUUAAAACCUAGAUCAGUGUUUUUCAGAUUAUGACCCCCUUAUGAGUCAUGAAAUCAGCUUUAAAAGAAGGAAAAAGGGGAAGGAGGGGAAGGAAGAGAAAGAAGAGGAAGAGGAAGAAAUAGAAACUAUUGAAUAUACCACCUGGAGUAAGGGUUAGUAUUAUUUGAUGAAAACUUUGUUUCAUUUAUGUUUAUGUAUGCUUGCACUAGGUUACAAUAUAAAAUGCAUUUCUUCCUAUGAGUUGCAAUAAAAUGUUUGAAAGCCAA